This 126-nucleotide non-coding RNA is filed under the name uncultured eukaryote. The record is from RNAcentral.
AGACGCCCGACGUGUCGCAGUACUACGCGUACGGUGGAGGGUGGUAUGACAAGGCCGGCAACUACUGCUGGGUGACUGCCGACGGCCGGCUGCACACGCUCAGGCCCGGGGCGAGCGCGCCCAUCG